RNAcentral lists this ribosomal RNA (497 nucleotides) under uncultured bacterium. RNAcentral's name for it is "partial 16S ribosomal RNA". It matches the Rfam family "Bacterial small subunit ribosomal RNA", at positions 28 to 507 of the family's 1533-position model. The record is from RNAcentral.
GAUGAACGCUGGCGGCGUGCCUAAUACAUGCAAGUCGAGCGAACAGACGAGGAGCUUGCUCCUCUGACGUUAGCGGCGGACGGGUGAGUAACACGUGGAUAACCUACCUAUAAGACUGGGAUAACUUCGGGAAACCGGAGCUAAUACCGGAUAAUAUAUUGAACCGCAUGGUUCAAUAGUGAAAGACGGCUUUGCUGUCACUUAUAGAUGGAUCCGCGCCGCAUUAGCUAGUUGGUAAGGUAACGGCUUACCAAGGCAACGAUGCGUAGCCGACCUGAGAGGGUGAUCGGCCACACUGGAACUGAGACACGGUCCAGACUCCUACGGGAGGCAGCAGUAGGGAAUCUUCCGCAAUGGGCGAAAGCCUGACGGAGCAACGCCGCGUGAGUGAUGAGGGUCUUCGGAUCGUAAAACUCUGUUAUUAGGGAAGAACAAAUGUGUAAGUAACUAUGCACGUCUUGACGGUACCUAAUCAGAAAGCCACGGCUAACUACGUG